RNAcentral lists this long non-coding RNA (8784 nucleotides) under Salmo salar (Atlantic salmon). RNAcentral's name for it is "lncRNA (ENSSSAG00000113386.1)". Lineage: Eukaryota; Metazoa; Chordata; Actinopteri; Salmoniformes; Salmonidae. The record is from RNAcentral.
ACUUGCCUAGUUAAAUAAAGAUUAAAUAAAAACAUGAUGCACCUCUGGGGUGAGGUGAGGUGAGCUGCCUGGCAUGCGGUGCCUGGCUGUCUGGGAUGGUGUUAAUGAUCCUUUAUCUCCCCCAAGGUUACAGAUGAACAGCACAAGAGGAAGAGGCACGAGAUUGCCUUUGCUCCCAGCAAACAUGGGUGGGGAGAGAGAGAGGAGAGGGUGGGGAGGGGCACACCGGUGUAAAUAUUCAGCUCAUGUUCCCACUCUGCUCCGUGCCUGACUGAGCCUUGUCUGAUGACCACGGAAUGAUGGGGGAGAAGGGGGCAUAAUUUAAACUUGAGGAAGAAAGUAUUUUUCUGACUGGGCUGUCACCUGAUUGGAAUGUAAAUCCAGGGGGCGGUUCAUCGCUGUUUUCCAUCUAGGGUCCUGAAUUGUGUUGUGUCAAAGCAGGGAUUGUAAAGAGGCUGUGCAGUGAAUGCAGCAGGAUGACUAUUAUAUAUUGGUCUCUAGCAGCUGUGUGUUUUUUUCUCAACACCAGUGAUGCUAGGAGAGUAUUUCCACUGAGCUCAGACGUCAGUUAAACGUCUAGUUUCGAUUUUGGUUAAGAUGUCAACUAAUGUGAAUUCAACGUGAAAUAAACCAAAAAAUUCCCUAUGCCAUUCGAUUAAGGUUAAAAGUUUAGUAAAAAAAAUAUGAAAUGGCCUUACGUUGAUGACUUUUUGCAAAUCAAAUCAGUUUUCCAUGUUGACUUUUCAGAAACACUUUAUGGCAAGUCAUGAGAUCCUUGGAAACACUCAGUAUUCAUAGGGCUGAUUUUUUUUCAUACAAUACUUAUUGUUGUCUGGAAGAAAGAGAUUGUGAUUGCAUCCCCAGGUACUAUGGUCACUGGUAUCUAUCUCCCCCCUACUAUGUUUAGAAAAUGAACACAAAAUUGCCCAUUCACCAACCCCAUGUGAAUCUAUGCUGUGAUUAAUUGAGGUCAUUUCCCUUUGCCGCUGUGUACAUGAUAGCAAUUAGACUUGAAUAACCUAAGGCAGUUCCACUUUAAGAAAAGUCAUCAAGGAUAUCUGGGAGAUGGAGCUGCUAAGACAGAUCUGGCAGAUUGCUCAUCUCCUGACAGUGCUGAAUCUUUUACGAGUUUUCCAUACCAGUGCACUUGCCUUCAUCUGCAGUGUGCACUUACAGAUUGGAGUGAGCUACAGUACAUCUACAGACAUUCAGGCCAAUGUUCAUUUCAUGUAUUUAAAGGAGUCUCAGGUUUUAAAUGCAGCCUUGAUAUGGCUCAACUCUCUCCUGAGAGGAAAAGAGGCAUCAUCCAAGAACUCUCAGGUUUUAAAUGCAGGCUCGAUACUCCUUAACUCUCUCCAGAGAAGAAAAGAGGCACCAUCCAAGAACUCUCAGCUUUUAAAUGCAGGAUUGAUACUCCUCAACUCUCUCCUGAGAAAACAGCCCACUGGGCAAGAAGUGAUUGAAUAAAUAUUCUUUCCAUGUCAUUUCCAACUUCAAAAAUGUAUGUGAUGAUUUUGAAUCACUGUGGAAAACUGAUUGGAUUUGCAAAAAGUCAUCAAUGUAAGGACAUUUCUUAAUUUUUUUACCCAACUUUUACCCUAAAUUCAAAGGCAUGGUGACAUUUCUAUUUGUAUUUUAAGUUGAAUUUACGUUUGUUGAUAACUCAACCAAGAUAAAAUCAAAACUAGACGUUGAAAUGAUGUCUGCGCCCAGAGAGAGUGGGUAUUUUAGAGAAACUCUCAGAGAGACAUGAUAAAAGAGAGAGAGGAGACAGAGAGAGAGAAAGAAAGAGAGACAGCUGUCUGUCUAAAGAGAUGCUUUAUUCAAAUUGAGUCCAAGCAGGCAUGCGCUUCAGGGACAGCUGUGACUUGUAACAGUGUUUAAGACCAACCGUGUGGGGUUGGACAGAUUAUUCCGAUAGGGGAAAAAAAUGCCUACAAAUAUUAAGUGAAAAAGUAUUGAAUACAAUGUAUGAGGGACCUACUAGGAUGUGACUGGCCUUGAAAGACUACAGGCAUGCAUCCCAAACGGCACCCUACCCCGUUUAUAAUGCCAUUUGGGACGCAGCAUGGUGUUGAUGUGAAAGAGUUGCAGAGCUCCUGAGAAACUGCCAUGUCUGGAAACAAGCAGUCUGUGUCCUAUCAGUUAAUUUGGGUGGGUUUAUUAACCUCCGCUGCCUGCUAUUCUUUGUGCGGGACUAUUUGCUGUUGUUGCUACGAUAGUGUUUGCGCCACAGGUUUUUUUUUUCUUUCUCCUCACAGUCGUGUUGUACCGUUGUAGUUUAUUUAGGAGUAGAGAUUUCUCCUCCGUGUGUUACGUUUAUUUCCCUGUGUGUGGCGACUUCGUUGGGUGUGUUUCCCCACCUGUUGUUGUCGUGUUUGGGACGUUCUAAUAAACGUUUGUGCUUCUGGAAAUCCUUGCUCUCCUGCUCCUGACUCUUGGGAGGCACGUAACAGGAAUGGGACUUCGAUCAUGUGCUACGCCCCAUGAAGUUGAUGUCUGCAGUUUGGGGAAAUUAUGCUCCAAGAUUUGAAUGAAACCUCCUGCCAUCAUGAGAUGUGACGAGGGAUGGAAGCGGUAGGAACACUUCCAGCAGUGUUAUCAGGUGCAAACAGAAGGAGUCAGGAUCUCCGACUCCACAGGGGUAAGACAUCAGAGGGCACACGCUUCCCGGUUCCCGCGUCACCGUCACCGCCACCGGGCCGUGACUCAUCCAGUUGGCAUUAACAAUGAUGAGCUCCCCAGUGUGCUAGGUCGGGGGAGAGAAACGGCACUUGACUCCGGAUCGAAUGUUCCUCUAAUACUCUUGGCCGUAACUACAUAUAAGGACACCGAGGUCUGUACCUUGAUAAUUGAUUCAAGAAAAAAAAAGUAUAUAUUUGUUUUAAUUUCAUCUUUAUUUAACUGUGUAGGCCAGUUGAGAACAAGUUCUCAUUUACUGCGACCUGGCCAAGAUAAAGCAAAGCAGUGCGACACAAACAACAACACAGAGUUAUACAUGGAAUAAACAAACGUACAGUCAAUAACACAAUAGAAAAGUCUAUAUACAGUGUGUGCAAAUGAGGUAAGAUUAGGGAGGGAAUGUUAAGUCCUGACCAGUGAAAGAGGUCGUUUGCCAUAGUAGAAUGAUCAGGGCAGGGGGGGUUUGUUUUGUAUGUAUUUUGGGUUUUCUGUUUCUAUGUGGGUUUGUUCUAGUUAUCUAUUUCUAUGUAUUGGUUUUCAUGUUCGGCCGGGUAUGGUUUCCAAUCAGAGGCAGGUGUCUUUCGUUGUCUCUGAUUGGAAGCCAUACUUAGGCAGCCUGUUUUUCCUUUUGGGUUGUGGGUCGUUUUUUUCCGUUUUAGUUUUAGUACCUGACGGGACUGUUGUUGGUCGUUUUCUUGUUUUGCUGUUUGAAGUGUUUUCAUGAAAGAAUUAAGAAUGAGCACUAUCCACGCUGCGUCUUGGUCUCCAUUCCAUGACCCCUGUGACAGGUAAGGCAAUAAAUAGGCCAUAAUGGCGAAAUAAUUACAAUAAACACUGGAGUGAUGUGCAGACGAUGAAUGUACAAGUAGAGAUACUGGGGUGCAAAGGUGCAAAAAAACAAAAACAAUAUGGGGAUGAGGUAGUUGGGUGGGCUAUUUACAGAUGGGCUAUGUACAGGUGCAAUGAUCUGUAAGCUGCUCUGACAGCUGAUGCUUAAAGUUAGUGAGGGAGAUAGUUGUCUCCAGAUUCAGUGAUUUUUGCAAUUCAUUCCAGUCAUUGGCAGCAGAGAACUUGAAGGAAAGGCGGCCAAAGAGGAAUUGGCUUUGGGGGUGACCAGUGAAAUAUACCUGCUGGAGCGCGUGCUACGGGUGGGUGCUGCUAUGGUGAUCGGUGAGCUGAGAUAAGAUGGGGCUUUACCUAGCAAAGACUAUAUAUAUAGUACCAGUCAAAAGUUUAGACACACCUACUCAUUUUUUUUUUUUUUUACUAUUUUCUACGUUGCAGAAUAAAAGUGAAGACAUCAAAACUAUGAAAUAACACACAUGGAAUCAUGUAGUAACCUAUAAAGUGUUUGGUUACUACAUGACGCCCCACAAGACGCCUCACAAGUCCUCAAAUGGCAGCUUCAUUAAAUAGUGCCCGCCUCACAAGUCCUCAACUGGCAGCUUCAUUAAAUAGUACCUGCAAAACACCAGACUCAACGUCAACAAUGAAGAGGUGACUCCAGGAUGCUGGCUUUCUAGGUAGAGUUGCAAAGAAAAUGACAUAUCUCAGACUGGCCAAUAAAAAGAAAAGAUUAAGAUAGGCAAAAGAACAGACACUGGACAGAGAAACUCUGCCUGGAAGGCCAGCAUCCCGGAGUCGCCUUUUCACUGUUAACAUUGAGACUGGUGUUAUGCGGGUACUAUUUCAUUAAGCUGCCAGUUGAGGACUUGUGAGGCGUCUGUUUCUCAAACUAGACACUCUAAUGUACUUGUCUUCUUGCUCAGUUGUGCACCGGGGCCUCCCACUCCACUUUCUAUUCUGGUUAGGGCCAGUGUGCGCUGUUCUGUGAAGGGAGUAUUACACAGCGUCGUACGAGAUCUUCAGUUUCUUGGCAAUUUCUCGCAUGGAAUAGCAUUUCUCAGAACAAGCAUAGAUUGACGAGUUUCAGAAGAAAGGUCUUUGCUUCUGGCCAUUUUGAGCCUGUAAUUGAACCCACAAAUGCUGAUGCUCCAGAUACUCAACUAUCUUAAAGAAGGCCAGUUUUAUUGCUUCACGUCCUGACCAAAACGAAUACAAUUGCUCCCUCUGCUGGUCAGGACGUGACAGUACCCCCCCCCCCCCUCAAGGUGCAGACCCCGGAAUGCACCUUAAAAAAGAAAACACCAAAAAAUCCCCAAUACCCCAACAAAACCAAUAAACAAUAACCCCUAAACAAUAAGGGAGGGAAGGGAGGGUGGCUGUCGUCAACGACGGCACUGUGCUACACCCUCCCUCCCCAACCCACCUAUCCUGGAGGUGGCUCAGGUGCAGGACGUGGACCUCGCUCCACCUUCGGCGUCGCCCACUUCGGUGGCUCCGAUAGCUGCGCCGGGCAGACGGGCCACUUGGGCUGACCCUGGCAGACGGACCACUCUGGCUGGGCCGGAGGACAUGCGGGCCACUCGGGCUGGGCCGGAGGGCAGUCGGGCCACUCUGGCAGCUCCGGGCAGUCGGGCCACUCUGGCAGCUCCGGGCAGUCGGGCCACUCUGGCAGCUCCGGGCAGUCGGGCCACUCUGGCAGCUCCGGGCAGUCGGGCCACUCUGGCAUCUCCGGGCAGACGCACUCUGGCAGCUCCUGACUAGCGGGCGGCUCUGGCGGCUCCUGACUAGCGGGCGGCUCUGGCGGCUCCUGACUGGCGGGCGGCUCUGGCGACUCCUGACUGGCGGGCGGCUCUGGCGACUCCUGACUGGCGGGCGGCUCCGGCGACUCCUGACUGGCGGGCGGCUCUGGCGACUCCUGACUGGCGGCGGCUCUGGCGACUCCUGACUGGCGGGCGGCUCUGGCGACUCCUGACUGGCGGGCGGCUCUGGCGACUCCUGACUGGCGGGCAGCUCUGACGUGCCAGCCUGGAGACACGCACCUCCAUGCUAGUGCGUAUAGCGGGAAACACCGGACCGUAGAGGCGCACUGGCGGUCUUGAGCACAGGGUUGGCAUCACCCCUUCAGGCUCGAUGCUUACUUCGCCCUGGCACAUGCGGGGCGCUGGUACUGUGCCUACCGGCCUGAAAAUCCCAGGCCUCACCACAGCCCCAACCCCAAAGCACGGGACCUGUCCACCCUGUCUCUGCCCUACAAGGGUACGGGGAGCUGGCCUGGGGCUCCAAUCUCGCCCCGCCAAACAGCCCUUGUGCCCCCCCCAAAAAAGUUAUUGGGGCUGCCUCUCGGGUUCCCUUAGUUCCCUUAACUUGUCAUCCCAGAAUCUUCGCUCCUUUUGCCAAGUCCAUCCAUCCACACUGUUCUCCUGUGGCUCCCUCCUCUUCCGCUGCUUGGUCCUUUUGUGGUGGGUAGUUCUGUCACAUGUAUCGUAGUGGAGAGAAGACCAAGGCGCAGCGGGAAUGUGAAUACUCAUACUUUUAAUAAACUCAAGUAAGGCAUCCACAGGAAAAUAACAAUAAACACGACAACAGGAACAGUUUUGCAGGCUCACAAAACGCAGUGCAAAAACAACUACCCACAACCCCAAAGAAAAACACACACUACUAUAUAGGACUCCCAAUCAAAGGCAACUCAACACACCUGCCUUCAAUUGGGAGUCCAAUCACCAACACAACACUUAACACACACAAAAACCCUGCCACGUCCUGACCAAAACUAAUACAAUUGCUCCCUCUGCUGGUCAGGAUGUGACAGCUUCUUUAAUCAGGACAACAGUUUUCAGCUGUGCCAACAUAAUUGCAAAAGGGUUUUCUAAUGAUCAAUUAGCCUUUGAAAACGAUAAACUUGGAUUUGCUAACACAACGUUCCAUUGGAACACAGGAGUGAUGGUUGCUGAUAAUGGGCCGCUGUACACCUAUGUAGAUAUUCCAUAAAAUAUCUGCCGUUUCCAGCUACAAUGGUCAUUUACAACAUUAAUAAUGUUGUCAUGACGUUGGCCUGUGGGUAAGGUGUAUGUACCCCCCAUAAAUACCUUUCUCCCUUCCUUCCCUCUCUCUCUGACUCUACUGAAGGACUCUUGAAUAGCCUUUGUUAAACAUAGAGAGUCUGUGAACAUCAAACAAGUGGGGGGGAAAGGAACCAUAUUUCGGUAAUAGAACCAGUUGAAAAUAUGCUUUGGUACUUAAUGUAUAUGAUGUCUGUUCGGUUGUCAUCUGAGACAUUAUGACUGAUGACAGGAUGACAUAAACUGUAUCUGAGAAAGUCUACACAUUCUAGUUAUCAGAUUCACAUGGAAUUGUUGUGCAAAUUAAAUGUUUGAAUAUGAAACUAUUUGUGAUAAGAUUAAAUGUAAUUUUAGCUUCCAAAUGAGAGAAUUGGGUUUUCGUAAGGUUAGAGCCCUGCUCAAUCAGUGGCCCGCCCCUGUGAAGAGACAUGGGUUAUAAACUAUGAAACACAUCCUUCUCUCCCUCCACUAUAUAAGCCCUUGACGAAAAUGUAACCUCCUGUUCCGAGGACGAUAGGAUGACGGUCCAUACUUUAAAAAGGACUAACAUGUCAACUACAGAACUAAGCCAACCUCAGCGUGAGCUUUGGUUGUGAAUGGUAUGAACUUUGAACUAUUAUUCACUAAAGAAGUGAGACCUCCUAGCCGUUGAGUUAGCAACAGCAGCUGUAAAACACGGGCUAGAAAAGGACGGACGGCGUAUCCAGUCUAACACACAAUGAAGAUACUACAACGUAUUCAAUUUACCACCAGAGACAUUCUUCCGAGGACAGGAAGAUCUCUGUUGGCCAACACGGCCAGCAUCUACGACAAACCUACCGAAGCGCAGCUCAGAGUACAUUUUUAUUGCAUUUUCCUUUUCCAAAUGGGCGGUAAUUUAGAAUGCAUAAGAUACUAUAUUUACGAUAGCACAGCUACUCCCUUUGUUCCUCAGUCUUCCCGCUCUUUCAUUCAAGCCCAACCCCCUCUCUUUGUGUAACAAGCCGUCAUGUCGGCUCCGUCCACCAGGGACGUUUUCUGUAUGACAUAAUUUGCAUUCUGUGUAUAUGUAAUUCUGUGUGAUUAGUUAGGUAUUUAGGAAAUAAAUAAUUAAACCCAAUUUUGUAUUGCUGAUUCAACUUGUUAGCCAGGGUUCGUGAAGAUAACCAAGAAUUUACAACUUUCAGAUGAGACUGAAAUAAGGUGACGAUUAAUAUUGACUGUUAUUGAUGUAAAAUAUUACUAGGUCUUUCAGAGUUUAUUCGGAAGAUAACAGCUCUAUAAACACUCUUUGGUGGUGCCCCGACUUUCUAGUUAAUUACAUUUACAUGAUUAGCUCAAUCAGGUAAUAUUAAUUACAGAGAAAGGAUUUUAUAGAAUAGCAUGUCAUAUCAGUUAAUCCGGCAUAGCCAAAGACACCACAAUGUAUACACUGUAUUUCUAAUCAAUUCGAUGUUAUUGUAAUGGAAUAAAUGUUAUUUUCUUUCAAAAACAAGGAAAUGUCUAAGUGACCCCAAACUUUUGAACGGUUGUGUAACUCUGGGUCUUCCUUUCCUGUGGAGGUCCUCAUGAGAGCCAGUUUCAUCAUAGUGCUUGAUGGUUUUUGCGACUGCACUUGAAGAAACGUUCAAAGUUUUUGUGGGCAAAGCUGUCAUCAAGGCAAAUGUUGGCUACUUUGAAGAAUCUCAAAUAUAAAAUAUAUUUAGAUUUGUUUAACACUUUUUUUUGUUACUACGUGAUUCCAUAUCUGCUACUUCAUAGUUUUGAUGUCUUCACUAUUAUUCUACAAUUUAGGAAAUAGUAAAAAUAAAGAAAAAUCCUUGAAUGAGUAGGUGUGUCCAAACUUUUGUCUGUGUAACGGUUGUCGUCGGAUUGAGACCAAAACGCAGCGGGUAUAUGUGUACUCAUCUUCUUUUAUUACGGAAAGAAGGAAAAAAACAAAAUAAACACGUACACCAAAAGAAACACAAUGACGACUAAACAGUCCUGUAAGGCCAUAAGCUAUACACGGAACAAUCUCCCACAAACACUAAACCAAACACAUACCCAUAUAUAGGACUCUCAAUCAGAGGCAACGAGAAAACACCUGCCUCCAAUUGAGAGUCCAACCCCAAUAAACUAGACAUACAAAAGACUAGAGACCACAUAGAAAUACAAACAUAGAACAUUACCCAAAAACCCGGAAAUAAUAAAUCAAACACCCUACUAAAUAAACUUC